This 380-nucleotide RNase P RNA is filed under the name marine eukaryotic metagenome. RNAcentral's name for it is "Bacterial RNase P class A". It matches the Rfam family "Bacterial RNase P class A". Rfam says of the family: Ribonuclease P (RNase P) is a ubiquitous endoribonuclease, found in archaea, bacteria and eukarya as well as chloroplasts and mitochondria. Its best characterised activity is the generation of mature 5'-ends of tRNAs by cleaving the 5'-leader elements of precursor-tRNAs. Cellular RNase Ps are ribonucleoproteins. The record is from RNAcentral.
GGGGCUGGAUGGCUGCGGACCAAUGCGGUUCGAGGAAAGUCCGGACUCCACAAAGCAACGGUGCCGGGUAACUCCCGGGCGGGGAAACCCGACGGAAAGCGCCACAGAAAGCAAACCGCCUGUGACAUCAUAGGUAAGGGUGAAAGGGUGGGGUAAGAGCCCACCGGGGGGUUGGCAACAGCUCUCGCAUGGCAAGCCCCACCGGGAGCAAUGCCGAAUAGGAACCCUGCCGCGGUUUAUCGCAUUACCGAUAUUAUCGCAGGGCAGCUUUGGCCUUUUGGGUUCGGGUUGGCAGCUAGAGGCGCGAAAGCAAUUUCGCGUUUAGAUGAAUGGUCAUCCAAGGGAUAUUCCCUGGACAGAAUCCGGCUUACAGGCCACCC